Molecule: ribosomal RNA, 460 nt
Filed under: uncultured bacterium
Lineage: Bacteria
Description: partial 16S ribosomal RNA
Rfam family: Bacterial small subunit ribosomal RNA
Source: RNAcentral
CCUACGGGAGGCAGCAGUGAGGAAUAUUGGGCAAUGGACGAGAGUCUGAACCAGCCAAGUAGCGUGAAGGAUGACUGCCCUAUGGGCUGUAAACUUCUUUUAUAAAGGAAUAAAACGAGGCACGUGUCCCUUUUUGCAUGUACUUUAUGAAUAAGGAUCGGCUAACUCCGUGCCAGCAGCCGCGGUAAUACGGAGGAUCCGAGCGUUAUCCGGAUUUAUUGGGUUUAAAGUGAGCGUAGAUGGGUUGUUAAGUCAGUUGUGAAAGUUUGCGGCUCAACCGUAAAAUUGCAAUUGAUACUGGCAGUCUUGAGUACAGAUGAGGUAGGUGGAAUUCGUGGUGUAGCGGUGAAAUGCGUAGAUAUCACGAAGAACCCCGAUUGCGAAGGCAGCUUACUAAACUGUGACUGACAUUGAUGCUCGAAAGUGUGGGUAUCAAACAGGAUUAGAUACCCCGGUAGUC